UUUAUCGGAGAGUUUGAUCCUGGCUCAGGACGAACGCUGGCGGCGUGCCUAAUACAUGCAAGUCGAGCGGACAGAUGGGAGCUUGCUCCCUGAUGUUAGCGGCGGACGGGUGAGUAACACGUGGGUAACCUGCCUGUAAGACUGGGAUAACUCCGGGAAACCGGGGCUAAUACCGGAUGGUUGUCUGGACCGCAUGGUUCAGACAUAAAAGGUGGCUUCGGCUACCACUUACAGAUGGACCCGCGGCGCAUUAGCUAGUUGGUGAGGUAACGGCUCACCAAGGCGACGAUGCGUAGCCGACCUGAGAGGGUGAUCGGCCACACUGGGACUGAGACACGGCCCAGACUCCUACGGGAGGCAGCAGUAGGGAAUCUUCCGCAAUGGACGAAAGUCUGACGGAGCAACGCCGCGUGAGUGAUGAAGGUUUUCGGAUCGUAAAGCUCUGUUGUUAGG
This 453-nucleotide ribosomal RNA is filed under the name Bacillus velezensis. RNAcentral's name for it is "bacterial SSU rRNA". It matches the Rfam family "Bacterial small subunit ribosomal RNA", at positions 1 to 443 of the family's 1533-position model. The record is from RNAcentral. Lineage: Bacteria; Bacillati; Bacillota; Bacilli; Caryophanales; Bacillaceae.